UACAGAGGUCUCAAGCGUUGUUCGGAUUCAUUGGGCGUAAAGGGUGCGUAGGCGGCGCGGUAAGUCGGGUGUGAAAUCUCGGGGCUUAACUCCGAAACUGCAUUCGAUACUGCCGUGCUUGAGGACUGGAGAGGAGACUGGAAUUUACGGUGUAGCGGUGAAAUGCGUAGAUAUCGUAAGGAAGACCAGUGGCGAAGGCGGGUCUCUGGGCUGACACUGACGCUCAUGCACGAAAGCGUGGGGAGCAAACAGG
This 253-nucleotide ribosomal RNA is filed under the name uncultured bacterium. Its description in RNAcentral is "partial 16S ribosomal RNA". It matches the Rfam family "Bacterial small subunit ribosomal RNA", at positions 524 to 776 of the family's 1533-position model. The record is from RNAcentral.